RNAcentral lists this ribosomal RNA (465 nucleotides) under uncultured bacterium. Its description in RNAcentral is "partial 16S ribosomal RNA". It matches the Rfam family "Bacterial small subunit ribosomal RNA", at positions 338 to 795 of the family's 1533-position model. The record is from RNAcentral.
CCUACGGGAGGCAGCAGUAGGGAAUUUUCGUCAAUGGGCGCAAGCCUGAACGAGCAAUGCCGCGUGAACGAGGAAGGUCUUCGGAUCGUAAAGUUCUGUUGAAGGGGAAAAAGAGCGGAGAGAGGAAAUGCUUUCUGAUUGAUAUUACCCUUCGAGGAAGUCACGGCUUACUUCGUGCCAGCCGCCGCGGUAAUACGGAGGUGGCGGGCGGUAUCCGGAAUGAAUGGGCGGAAAGGGUGCGUCGGCGGCCUGCUAAGUCUGGAGGUUAAGGGACCGGCGCAAACGGUAGAGGCUCUGGAAACUGGCGGGAUAGAGAGGAGGGGAGGGCGGUGGAAAUCCAAGGGUAGCGGUAAAAUGCGUAGAUAUAUGGAAGAACAACAGUGGCGAAGGCGGCCGCCUGGCCUGUUAACUGACGCUGAGGCACGAAAGCGUGGGGAGCAAAUAGGAUUAGAUACCCUGGUAGUC